RNAcentral lists this ribosomal RNA (253 nucleotides) under uncultured bacterium. RNAcentral describes it as "partial 16S ribosomal RNA". It matches the Rfam family "Bacterial small subunit ribosomal RNA", at positions 524 to 776 of the family's 1533-position model. The record is from RNAcentral.
UACGAAGGGGGCUAGCGUUGCUCGGAAUCACUGGGCGUAAAGCGCACGUAGGCGGAUUCUUAAGUCAGAGGUGAAAUCCCAAGGCUCAACCUUGGAACUGCCUUUGAUACUGGGGAUCUUGAGUCCGGAAGAGGUGAGUGGAACUGCGAGUGUAGAGGUGAAAUUCGUAGAUAUUCGCAAGAACACCAGUGGCGAAGGCGGCUCACUGGUCCGGUACUGACGCUGAGGUGCGAAAGCGUGGGGAGCAAACAGG